Molecule: ribosomal RNA, 719 nt
Filed under: uncultured bacterium
Lineage: Bacteria
Description: bacterial SSU rRNA
Rfam family: Bacterial small subunit ribosomal RNA
Source: RNAcentral
UUUGAUGAAGUUUUCGGAUGGAUUUAAAACAGCUUAGUGGCGGACGGGUGAGUAACGCGUGGGUAACCUGCCUCACACUGGGGGAUAACAGUUAGAAAUAGCUGCUAAUACCGCAUAAGCGCACGGUUCCGCAUGGAACAGUGUGAAAAACUCCGGUGGUGUGAGAUGGACCCGCGUCUGAUUAGCCAGUUGGCGGGGUAACGGCCCACCAAAGCGACGAUCAGUAGCCGGCCUGAGAGGGUGAACGGCCACAUUGGGACUGAGACACGGCCCAAACUCCUACGGGAGGCAGCAGUGGGGAAUAUUGCACAAUGGGGGAAACCCUGAUGCAGCGACGCCGCGUGAGUGAAGAAGUAUUUCGGUAUGUAAAGCUCUAUCAGCAGGGAAGAAAGUGACGGUACCUGAAUAAGAAGCCCCGGCUAACUACGUGCCAGCAGCCGCGGUAAUACGUAGGGGGCAAGCGUUAUCCGGAUUUACUGGGUGUAAAGGGAGCGUAGACGGCAAGGCAAGUCUGAAGUGAAAGCCCGGUGCUUAACGCCGGGACUGCUUUGGAAACUGUUUGGCUGGAGUGCCGGAGAGGUAAGCGGAAUUCCUAGUGUAGCGGUGAAAUGCGUAGAUAUUAGGAAGAACACCAGUGGCGAAGGCGGCUUACUGGACGGUAACUGACGUUGAGGCUCGAAAGCGUGGGGAGCAAACAGGAUUAGAUACCCUGGUAGUCC